RNAcentral lists this ribosomal RNA (388 nucleotides) under uncultured bacterium. Its description in RNAcentral is "bacterial SSU rRNA". It matches the Rfam family "Bacterial small subunit ribosomal RNA", at positions 28 to 418 of the family's 1533-position model. The record is from RNAcentral.
GACGAACGCUGGCGGCGUGCUUAACACAUGCAAGUCGAGCGGUAAGGCCCUUUCGGGGGUACACGAGCGGCGAACGGGUGAGUAACACGUGGGUGACCUGCCCUCAGCUCUGGGAUAAGCCCGGGAAACUGGGUCUAAUACUGGAUAUUACUCUGCGGUGCAUGCCGUGGGGUGGAAAGCCUUGUGCGGCUGGGGAUGGGCCCGCGGCCUAUCAGCUUGUUGGUGGGGUGAUGGCCACCAAGGCGACGACGGGUAGCCGGCCUGAGAGGGCGACCGGCCACACUGGGACUGAGACACGGCCCAGACUCCUACGGGAGGCAGCAGUGGGGAAUCUUGCGCAAUGGGCGAAAGCCUGACGCAGCGACGCCGCGUGAGGGAUGACGGCCUC